CUUGGAGGUAGCUUUGAACUGGGACUUUGGCUUUGACUUGGGACCUUGGUUCUUGGACUGAUUUUUGGAGGACUGCUCCUGGAUCUUCUCCUUUGGACUUCAGUAUUGGAGGACUUUGUUUUGGGAGAGUGAGUAGCUGGCCUUCCUUUCUUGGCUUCUGGAAAGAUUAGUUGUGAAGAGGCCUUCCUUUCCUGGAGGAGGCUACAUUGGUGGAACACUUUCAUAAGACACCACUGGGUCCUCUGGCUAAGGGUUACCAAGCUCUGCUGGAGCUGAGCUGGACACUGGAGCAACAUUUAGUGUGAUAGGCUAGACAUUUUCUCUACCCUCUUUUUACAUUUCUCCAUUAUUCUUUCCACCUCUUUGUAAAUAAAAGCUACUAAAAUUCAUUUUAACUUGAGCUAAGAUAUUUUAAACUGGUGACCACAAUAUUAAUUUAGAAGCCUCAUACUUAGACCCCUAAAUUUAAUUUCUAAAAACACACAUACUUAUACAUACACAUAUAUGUUACCUAUGUAUAUAUGUAUAUUAUCUAUCCAUUCGUCUCUCCAUCUCUCCAUUUAUCAUCAAUUUAUCCAUCUUUCUCUCUCUCUUCCAUAUUUCUUUUCCCCUGGGGUUUCCUUUGGCCAAACAGCAAGCUCUUUUUGGGCUCUGUAAGGUUGUGAUAGUUACUCGAGAACUAGAAAGGGGUCCUUGGAGUUUGGCCUUUUGAGGAAGAUUGCAUUGCCACAGGCAGGUUCCUGUUAAAUCAGUGCCGAUGGGGAAUGAUAAAUCAAGUGGGCAAUCUUUUUGCUUUGUCAGGUGGAGGUGGGAGAGGCAAAGGAGUAUGAUUUGAAGACUGUAUAGAGAUGUAUUUUUUUUAACUCAAAUUCUCAAUGGCGAACAAGACUCCUAGAGAAGACAAGAGAUGGGCCUUGAGGAGAGACACAACUCAAAGUCAUCAAAGUUCAGUGGCAAGCCAAAAUUCAGGAUGACUGACUAUAUCCUGAGAUGAAGUUGAUGACCUUGAUGUCUUCAUUGUUGACCAAACUCUUAAGAACUCCACAAUGCUUGCUUCAGAUGACUUCAUGGCUAUUGGAACAAAUGGUUUUUAUCCUCCCAUCCAGGGAAUUAAAGGGGACCAGGCUGUGUACCAGGGUAGAAAAUACUAGGACAGAAAGAGAUCUCAAGGAAUCUUUGAAGAUCCUUCAGAAUAUGGGAUCCAAAGUCAUCUGGCAACCACAUCCAAGUCAGAGAUCAGGAAAGACUGCUGGAAGCCAGAAGCACUUGAAGUGA
This is a long non-coding RNA of Monodelphis domestica (gray short-tailed opossum), 1275 nucleotides long. Lineage: Eukaryota; Metazoa; Chordata; Mammalia; Didelphimorphia; Didelphidae. The record is from Ensembl.